AAACCUCAGAGAAGAAGGGACCUUACACCUAUCGACUUUCUGAUGGGUGGGUAUGGAAUGCUUCUUAUCUUGCACCUGCCUAUGCACCAAGAGGAGAUUAUG
Long non-coding RNA from Gopherus evgoodei (Goodes thornscrub tortoise), 102 nucleotides. RefSeq lists it as uncharacterized. Lineage: Eukaryota; Metazoa; Chordata; Testudines; Testudinidae. The record is from RefSeq and is a predicted model, not a curated record. The transcript is spliced from 3 exons.